GACGAACCGUGCAAACGUUAUUCGGAAUCACUGGGCAUAAAGGGCGCGUAGGCGGCUCCAAAAGUCAGGGGUGAAAUCCGGCAGCUUAACUGUCGCAGUGCCUUUGAUACUGUGGAGCUAGAGGGAGGUAGGGGUCUGUGGAACUUCCGGUGGAGCGGUGAAAUGCGUUGAUAUCGGAAGGAACGCCGGUGGCGAAAGCGACGGACUGGAUCUCAUCUGACGCUGAGGCGCGAAAGCCAGGGGAGCAAACGGG
Molecule: ribosomal RNA, 253 nt
Filed under: uncultured bacterium
Lineage: Bacteria
Description: partial 16S ribosomal RNA
Rfam family: Bacterial small subunit ribosomal RNA
Source: RNAcentral